UGUGUAGGCGGUUCUUUAAGUUUGGUGUGAAAUCUCCCGGCUCAACUGGGAGGGAGCGCCGAAUACUGAGGGACUAGAGUACGGGAGAGGAAAGUGGAAUUCCUGGUGUAGCGGUGAAAUGCGUAGAUAUCAGGAGGAACACCGGUGGUGUAGACGGCUUUCUGGACCGUAACUGACGCUGAGACACGAAAGCGUGGGUAGCAAACAGGAUUAGAUACCCUGGUAGUCCACGCCCUAAACGAUGCAUAUUUGGUGUGGGCAGUUCAUUCUGUCCGUGCCGGAGCCAACGCGUUAAAUAUGCCGCCUGGGGAGUACAGUCGCAAGGCUGAA
This 330-nucleotide ribosomal RNA is filed under the name uncultured bacterium. RNAcentral describes it as "bacterial SSU rRNA". It matches the Rfam family "Bacterial small subunit ribosomal RNA", at positions 568 to 898 of the family's 1533-position model. The record is from RNAcentral.